GACGAACCGUGCGAACGUUGUUCGGAAUCACUGGGCUUGAAGGGCGCGUAGGCGGAUGCCAAGGUCAGGGGUGAAAUCCUCCGGCUCAACCGGAGAAGUGCCCCUGAAACCGGGCGUCUCGAGGGGUGCAGGGGCAUGCGGAACUCAGGGUGGAGCGGUGAAAUGCGUAGAUAUCCUGAGGAACACCGGUGGCGAAGGCGGCGUGCUGGACACCUACUGACGCUGAGGCGCGAAAGCCAGGGGAGCGAACGGG
RNAcentral lists this ribosomal RNA (253 nucleotides) under uncultured bacterium. RNAcentral's name for it is "partial 16S ribosomal RNA". It matches the Rfam family "Bacterial small subunit ribosomal RNA", at positions 524 to 776 of the family's 1533-position model. The record is from RNAcentral.